UAGGUGGAGGACAGAUGGAGCCGAUAUUUGCCGUCCCGGAUUUGAACGAUGGAGGAGCCAUGGAGCCCUCACAUGCGGCCCCGAGCAACGAUGCCGACUUACAGGGUUGCGAUGUUACGGAUGGUGAUGGCGAUCUCGCUGAAGUCCCUGUUCCCGCCAGUGUAGCCGAACCAGGACACGGAGU
Olea europaea var. sylvestris is the source of this 184-nucleotide long non-coding RNA. RefSeq lists it as uncharacterized. NCBI's taxonomy places the organism in Eukaryota, Viridiplantae, Streptophyta, Magnoliopsida, Lamiales, Oleaceae. The record is from RefSeq and is a predicted model, not a curated record. The transcript has 3 exons.